RNAcentral lists this ribosomal RNA (253 nucleotides) under uncultured bacterium. Its description in RNAcentral is "partial 16S ribosomal RNA". It matches the Rfam family "Bacterial small subunit ribosomal RNA", at positions 524 to 776 of the family's 1533-position model. The record is from RNAcentral.
UACAGAGGUGGCAAGCGUUGUUCGGAAUUACUGGGCGUAAAGGGCGCGUAGGCGGCCUUGUAAGUCCUGUGUGAAAUCCCCCGGCUCAACUGGGGAACUGCACAGGAGACUGCUUGGCUUGAGUUCGGGAGAGGGAAGCGGAAUUCCGGGUGUAGCGGUGAAAUGCGUAGAUAUCCGGAGGAACACCGGUGGCGAAGGCGACUUCCUGGCCUGUUCUUGACGCUGAGGCGCGAAAGCUAGGGUAGCAAACGGG